RNAcentral lists this ribosomal RNA (253 nucleotides) under uncultured bacterium. RNAcentral's name for it is "partial 16S ribosomal RNA". It matches the Rfam family "Bacterial small subunit ribosomal RNA", at positions 524 to 776 of the family's 1533-position model. RNAcentral also lists the same sequence under 1 other name. The record is from RNAcentral.
UACGUAGGGUCCGAGCGUUGUCCGGAAUUAUUGGGCGUAAAGGGCUCGUAGGCGGUCCGUCACGUCGGGAGUGAAAACUCAGGGCUCAACCCUGAGCGUGCUUCCGAUACGGGCGGACUAGAGGUAUGCAGGGGAGAACGGAAUUCCUGGUGUAGCGGUGGAAUGCGCAGAUAUCAGGAGGAACACCGGUGGCGAAGGCGGUUCUCUGGGCAUUACCUGACGCUGAGGAGCGAAAGCAUGGGGAGCGAACAGG